Molecule: long non-coding RNA, 2015 nt
Organism: Polyodon spathula (Mississippi paddlefish)
Lineage: Eukaryota; Metazoa; Chordata; Actinopteri; Acipenseriformes; Polyodontidae
Exons: 4
Source: RefSeq, a predicted model, not a curated record
AUAUAAGAAAAGUACCUAAUACAAAUACAAAUAAUAGUUCCAGGGGCAGAAUAAAAAAACAAAAACAAACAAACAAACAAACAAUAGAUUAACAAGAGGAAAUACUCAUUACAUUUAAAGGAAAACAUACAAAAGAACACAUAUUUCUGCAUAGGCCCCCCCACACACAUAUUUACACACACAUUAUAUUUACAAACAGCACAAUGGUUGCAAUCAACACCCAGUGCUCUAUGGCGUCGCUCUCCUGAUGGAUAAACAUCAGUACAUAGUUUGUAAUGAACUUCUGAUACUCUUGGGAAAGUUCAAUACAGGGCAGUUGCGUUUUUUGAAGAUUUGUUCUGUAAUGUAAUGUCCCAUUUAGGGAAUAAUGCUUUAAGAAUUACCCCUCCUGCCUUUUAUUAUUUUUAGUAUCAGUAAUCCAUUGAUCAAUAAGCUGGGGUAUGAUGGGGUGCAUCCAGAAUAUUGUAUUGCAUUCCUAAUGAGAGAAACAAAAGGAACCGGUGUAGCCAUUACUACCUUCACAUUGGCUGUUACAAGACUUGUGACGUUUGCAAUCUGUUGUUCAGUAUGUCUUCCCCCGUGCUAUCCAUGUUUUUAAAUGUACGAGAAGUGUCGGUGGUACAGUAUACAUUACACCUGUCAAACAGGUUUUUUUCUUUCUUUAUGAAUUUCACGUGUCAUUUUUCAGAAGGUGGUGUUGCUGAUCCUAAACAACUAUCGUUAUGGCAACCACCAAUUACAUUACAGCAUUUGAAAUACGUCAACGCGCUCCAGAUUCAAACAGUCUUUAUAACAGCUGACUUGAUUUUUUAAACAAACCAGAAGCAACAACUUGCAAGACUUGUAACAGUCGGUACUGAACAUGAGCUCAGAGAAAUGUUUGCAGAAGAAUGUCAGUCCAACCCAACAGCCUCCUACACCAAGCAUAAUGAAACGGAAGAAAAUCCAAGAGACCAAUGUCUUCAGAAGCCCAACAGACAAUAUGGUGUCUCCCUGUACACGCAGACUCCUGAAGAAAACUGAUAAAUUUGUGAAUCCCAGCAAGACAUUUCCAGAUGUGCCUAAGUGUACUGUUGAGGAUAAAGAAAAUGCUUCCAUAAUGUAAAAUGGAGAGAGAGCCUUCAUCAACAGCCAAGCAUUAGCUGGGCUGGUUUCCUGGGUUCAGGGCGUUCUGCUUGUUUCAAGAGUUAUGCUGGGUCACUAGCGCUUAUGAUUAACUUUACUAUAGCGCACUGAACUGAUGGUAAGGCGGCAUUUGAUCUGAAAAUUAACAGGUGAUUCUGAGGUAAAUUUUUCUACCCUUGAUCUCAGCUUGAUACAUACUCAUAUACUAUGCCAUUGUUCAUAAGGCAAGCUAUAAAUACGGGGAGCAAAUAUAUUGUAGUAUAAAGUUAAAGGGGAUUUUGUUAUACAAAUCUUUUCCAACAAAUUGUUAAAAAGAGUAUGCAUUGUACAAGUUGUAAAGGCUGCUACACACCAGACAGGAUGUGACAAGCGAAACUGCAGCGAUGCGAGAAAAUGAAUGGAACCUGUACUUUUGACAGGUAUCUUUCAGGCGACGCGGGAACGACACCAGGGUGACACUGGAGCGACACGAAAUAAAUGGAAUUGAAUCCUUAUUUUUUGCAAUUUGUCGUGCAACAACUAGGGAAUUGGAGGAAAAAAUAAUGCCAUGAAAAAACACAGAGUUUUAUGCCAUACAUUUUGAAAUACAUUCAGAGAAGACACUCAUAAUUACUACAUCAUGUUGACAAAUAUGAACCAGUCUUGAUUAUAGUUUUGUCAGUAGGAUUUUUUUUUUUAAAUAGUUUUAUUGAUCUGGUAGUUUUCAAUCUGUCGCAUCGCCUCUGUCAUUUCUGGUGUGUACGGUCAUGUUGCUGUGAAAGUAUUUUAUCACCCAAUGAGAAGUGUCAUGUUUUUUUAUAAUGUAAAAUGUUAUUUUAUGUAAUAUAAAAUAACUCACCUUGUAUGAUGAUUUUAUAAACAUGUAUAUGGAGAGUUUACUGUAUUAUUUC